RNAcentral lists this non-coding RNA (20 nucleotides) under Rattus norvegicus (Norway rat). The record is from RNAcentral. Lineage: Eukaryota; Metazoa; Chordata; Mammalia; Rodentia; Muridae.
GUCAUUUGUGCUGGAACAUA